AGUGAACGCUGGCGGUAGGCCUAACACAUGCAAGUCGAACGGCAGCACAGUAAGAGCUUGCUCUUACGGGUGGCGAGUGGCGGACGGGUGAGGAAUACAUCGGAAUCUACUUUUUCGUGGGGGAUAACGUAGGGAAACUUACGCUAAUACCGCAUACGACCUACGGGCGAAAGCAGGGGAUCUUCGAACCUUUCGCGAUUGAAUGAGCCGAUGUCGGAUUAGCUAGUUGGCGGGGUAAAGGCCCACCAAGGCGACGAUCCGUAGCUGGUCUGAGAGGAUGAUCAGCCACACUGGAACUGAGACACGGUCCAGACUCCUACGGGAGGCAGCAGUGGGGAAUAUUGGACAAUGGGCGCAAGCCUGAUCCAGCCAUACCGCGUGGGUGAAGAAGGCCUUCGGGUUGUAAAGCCCUUUUGUUGGGAAAGAAAAGCAGCAGGUUAAUACCCCGCUGUUCUGACGGUACCCAAAGAAUAAGCACCGGCUAACUUCGUG
Molecule: ribosomal RNA, 492 nt
Filed under: uncultured bacterium
Lineage: Bacteria
Description: partial 16S ribosomal RNA
Rfam family: Bacterial small subunit ribosomal RNA
Source: RNAcentral